This 440-nucleotide ribosomal RNA is filed under the name uncultured bacterium. RNAcentral's name for it is "partial 16S ribosomal RNA". It matches the Rfam family "Bacterial small subunit ribosomal RNA", at positions 338 to 795 of the family's 1533-position model. The record is from RNAcentral.
CCUACGGGUGGCAGCAGUGGGGAAUAUUGCACAAUGGGGGGAACCCUGAUGCAGCGACGCCGCGUGAGUGAAGAAGUUUUUCGGUAUGUAAAGCUCUAUCAGCAGGGUAGAAGAUGACGGUACCUGACUAAGAAGCCCCGUCUAACUACGUGCCAGCAGCCGCGCUACUACGUAGGGGGCAAGCGUUCUCCGGAUUUACGGGGUGUAACGGGGGCGUAGGCGGCAGGGCAAGUCUGGAGUGAAAGCCCGGGGCCCAACCCCGGGACUGCUUUGGAAACUGGCAUGCUGGAGUGCUGGAGAGGUAAGCGGAAUUCGUAGUGUAGCGGUGAAAUGCGUAGAUAUUAGGAGGAACACCAGUGGCGAAGGCGGCAUACUGGACAGUAACUGACGUUGAGGCACGAAAGCGUGGGGAGCAAACAGGAUUAGAUACCCGUGUAGUC